RNAcentral lists this unclassified non-coding RNA (337 nucleotides) under soil metagenome. RNAcentral's name for it is "partial contains 5.8S ribosomal RNA, internal transcribed spacer 2, and large subunit ribosomal RNA". The stretch from base 1 to 120 matches the Rfam family "5.8S ribosomal RNA", at positions 35 to 154 of the family's 154-position model. The record is from RNAcentral.
GAUGAAGAACGUAGCGAAAUGCGACAAGUAGUGUGAAUUGCAGAAUUCAGUGAAUCAUCGAAUCUUUGAACGCACAUUGCGCCCCUUGGUAUUCCAUGGGGCAUGCCUGUUCGAGCGUCAUUUGUACCUUCAAGCUCUGCUUGGUGUUGGGUGUUUGUCUCGCCUCUGCGUGUAGACUCGCCUCAAAACAAUUGGCAGCCGGCGUAUUGAUUUCGGAGCGCAGUACAUCUCGCGCUUUGCACUCAUAACGACGACGUCCAAAAGUACAUUUUUACACUCUUGACCUCGGAUCAGGUAGGGAUACCCGCUGAACUUAAGCAUAUCAAUAAGCGGAGGA